AGUGAACGCUGGCGGCAGGCCUAACACAUGCAAGUCGAGCGGCAGCGCGGGGGCAACCCUGGCGGCGAGCGGCGGACGGGUGAGGAAUUCGUCGGAAUCUGCCUUUUUGUGGGGGAUAACGUAGGGAAACUUACGCUAAUACCGCAUACGUCCUACGGGAGAAAGUGGGGGACCGCAAGGCCUCACGCAGAAAGAUGAGCCGACGACCGAUUAGCUAGUUGGUGGGGUAAAGGGCCACCAAGGCGACGAUCGGUAGCUGGUCUGAGAGGAUGAUCAGCCACACUGGGACUGAGGCACGGCCCAGACUCCUACGGGAGGCAGCAGUGGGGAAUAUUGGACAAUGGGCGCAAGCCUGAUCCAGCCAUGCCGCGUGUGUGAAGAAGGCCUUCGGGUUGUAAAGCACUUUUGUCCGGAAAGAAAUCCCUGGAGCUAAUACCUUCGGGGGAUGACGGUACCGGAAGAAUAAGCACCGGCUAACUUCGUG
Molecule: ribosomal RNA, 484 nt
Filed under: uncultured bacterium
Lineage: Bacteria
Description: partial 16S ribosomal RNA
Rfam family: Bacterial small subunit ribosomal RNA
Source: RNAcentral